This is a long non-coding RNA of Branchiostoma floridae (Florida lancelet), 1575 nucleotides long. RefSeq lists it as uncharacterized. NCBI's taxonomy places the organism in Eukaryota, Metazoa, Chordata, Leptocardii, Amphioxiformes, Branchiostomatidae. The transcript has 2 exons. The record is from RefSeq and is a predicted model, not a curated record.
CUGUGGUACAGCAGGCUGACAGAGAAGAACCUGAUAGAUGCGUUCAUCCCUUUUCUACCACUGGGGAAGAAGCAUGUCAAACAGUGUAUCGAGGAUGAUCUCAGGGCUAAGGGCCACACCGUGACAGAAGAUGUAGUAACGAAGGUCGCAGACGAGCUGCAGUACUUCCCCGACCAGGAGCAGCUGACCCUGUACUCCAAGUCUGGCUGCAAGAGGGUGUCGCAAAAGGUCGACCUUGUCAUGGAGGAACUCUAGCCCACAUAGACUUAAAUGUUUUGGUAUCCUAGGCUAGACAGCAAUUAGCCCAUGGCUACUUCCCCUCAGCAGAUGAGAAGCUCCAGACCUAUUUUCUGUGGAUAUAUCCACAAAGUGUAGGGCUAUGAAAAAAGUAUGAUGCUAUUUUAUGCAAAUGAAGAAAAAAGUGUGGUGCUAUCAAGCAAAUCAGUGGUGUUAUCACACUAAAAGUAUGUGUGCUGUUCUAAACAAUCCUUUCUUUCCUUUGGGCCCUUCUUCUGGAAACUAAAUUGUGUCAUGUGAUAACUGUUUUACACUAUUUUGCUAUAUACAGUCUGUAUAUGUCCUAUAUUAGUAAUUUGUACCCUCCAUUGUCUUCUACUUUCCCGUUGGAUCCAUGGUUCAUGUUUUUGUCUAUGUCCUUAUGUUUUAUUUAUGUGAACUGUAUAUUUACAUGUAGAACGCAAGAAAAUAAAGUAACAUUUUGUAGAACAGAUGAAUUAGAGAAGCUUCGGGAAAGUAUGCCAUGGGCUAAGUUAGUUAACUGAUGGGUUUAGCCUCAUCUUCUGUAUAUAAGCACCAGGCCUGCCACCUCGGGAAUUUCAAGUCUCCUAAGAAACUGCAGACUAGAAACUCCUCGAUGGGCGGGCCUGGUACUAUACAUAGAAAAGAACGAUUGUAUGAAGUUGUGAUCAUAGUUAAGAACAAUAGUGGUGACUGACAGGAGUCGGAUUCUUAUGUGUUGAUGAUUUCUUAGUGAUGUGCAAUGGUGUAGAGUGACAGAACACCUGUUGCUUCUCCCCUCUCUCCGAGUUGGUACAAUCCAAAACCUUUGACAGUUGUAUUUAAACCUUUAGUAUAAAGUUUUGGCCAGUUGUACCCAAAGCAGUUCCAGGGGGUAUAUAGUCUGAGAAUUCACAACCUCUCCGGAUUGACCCUCAGGUGAAGACUCCGAGGAGCUUUUUAGUGCAAAACUAACUUAUUUUUCUACGACUUGACAUUUAAUGUCACUGAAGCCCUGGACUUUUGAGAAGUUAUUAAUCCAAAUUUACAAAUUUUGCGGACCAAUCAGAUGUUAGGGAUUUCCGUAAGAUUAGCGUUAUUCCAUCUUAGCCCAACCCAAUAUUUAGAAGAUAAAAAGGAGACACUCAAUUCAGAGAGUGCAGUUUUUUUGUGCCGAUAAGUUGUGCCGAGCGGUUGUUAAAGCUGAGACUGGAAAUACCUGAAAGUUUGGAACUCAGAGACAGAACGUAGCAUUUGAAGAGUGGGGAAUAAUUCUGGUUGGAAACCACAGCCAUCACGAUCGAAGUGGGGGAAUGAAUAAAGGCAAGUCGAGCUGAA